CUGAAACCGGUCGCAUGCAAGCCGUCAGAGCCUGUGUGGUGAUGGCGUGCCUUUUGAAGAAUGAGCCUGCGAGUUAGUGAUGCGUGGCGAGGUUAACCCGUGGUGGGGGAGUCGUAGCGAAAGCGAGUCCGAUAAGGGCGUGAGUCGCGUGUUCUAGACCCGAAGCGGUGUGAUCUAUCCAUGGCCAGGAUGAAGCGUCGGUAAGACGUCGUGGAGGUCCGAACCCACUUCAGUUAAAAAUGGAGGGGAUGAGUUGUGGAUAGGGGUGAAAGGCCAAUCAAACACCGUGAUAGCUGGUUCUCCCCGAAAUGCAUUUAGGUGCAGCGUUGCGUGGUUCUUGUUGGAGGUAGAGCACUGGAUGGUCUAGGGGGCUUAUCGGCUUACCGAAAUCAGCCAAACUCCGAAUGCUGGCAAGUGUAGCGUGGCAGUGAGACGGCGGGGGAUAAGCUUCGUCGUCGAGAGGGAAACAGCCCAGAUCAUCAGCUAAGGCCCCUAAGUGGUGACUCAGUGGGAAAGGAUGUGGAGUUGCGUAGACAACUAGGAUGUCGGCUUAGAAGCAGCCACCAUU
Molecule: ribosomal RNA, 568 nt
Filed under: Prorocentrum minimum
Lineage: Eukaryota; Dinophyceae; Prorocentrales; Prorocentraceae
Description: partial Bacterial large subunit ribosomal RNA
Rfam family: Bacterial large subunit ribosomal RNA
Source: RNAcentral